GCCGCUCCAGCAGCAUAUGGAGGUUCCCAGGCUUUUUUUUUGUUCCCAGGCUAGGGGUCGAAUCAGAGCAAAUUAAAAAAAUUAAAAACAAAGUGAAACAAAACCUGCAUCUCAGUAGCAACCCAGGCUGCUACAGAGACAUUGCGGGCUCCUUAACCCAUUCCACUACAGUAGGAAUUCCAGGAGAAGUUAAUUAUUUAAUAUAACAGUUUAUUGCUUACAUUCCUGGCAUAGUGAUACUUUUUUUAAAUAUAACUUAGUAUUUUGGCAUUUUCAAUCUGUAAAUAUUCAGUAUAGGUUACUGUUAUACACAGUACAUAGGCUUUAUAUGUGUCUUUUAUUCAAUUCUUUAUUCCUAUCUCCUAGCAAAGUUCUUGACACAGAGUUGGAGGUAAACACAGUUGGUGAAUAAACAUGCGGUUAAGAGUUGAGACUCUGGAGAAAGACAAAACCAGAUUCAAAUUCAGUCUCUCACUUAUUAGCUGGCUGGGUUACCUUGAAAAGUUCUUUAUUCUCUCAAGAGUUAAUUUGAUUGUCUAUAAAAUGAGGAUAAAAAGAUCAGCUGGACAUAGUUCCUUAAAAUGUAGUUAAUAUUGAUCCACUCCUCUGUCGAUGGACAUUUAGGUUGUUUCCAUGUCUUGGCUAUUGAAAAUAGUGCUGCAAUGAACACUGGAGUACAUGUGUCUUUUCGAGUCAUGGUUUUUUCCUGGCUAGAUACCCAGGAGUGGGAUUGCUGGAUCAAAUUGUAGCUGUAUUUUUAGUUUUCUGAGGAAUCUCCAUACUGUUUUCCACAGUGGUUGCACCAAUUUGCAAUCCCAUCAACAGUGUAAUAGGGCUGCUUUUUCUCCACACCCUCUCUAGCACUUAUUGUUUGUAGUCUUUUUGAUGGUGGCCACUCUGUCUGGUUUAAGGAGGUACCUCAGAGUGGUUUUGAUUUGCGUUUCUCUAAUAAUGAGUGAUGCUGAACAUCUUUUCAUGUGUUUUUUGGCCAUCUGUAUAUCUUCUUUGGAGAAUUGUCUAUUUUGAUCUUCUGCCCAUUUUUUGAUGGAGUUGUUUGGUUUUUUUUGGUAUUGAGCUGCAGAAAGUGUUUAUAAAUUUUGGAGAUUAAUCCCUUUUCAGUUGAUUCAUUUGCAAAGAUUUUCUCCCAUUCUGUGGGUUGUCUUUCUGUGUUGUUUAGGGUUUCCUUUGCUGUGCAGAACCUUUUAAGUUUAAUUAGGUCCCAUUUGUUUACUUUUGUUUUUACUUCAUUACUCAACAACUGAGAAGUUUUUUUUUAAAGCUUAAAUUUUUUUUAACGCUUAAAUUUUUUUUUUAAUGCUUAAAUUAAUGCUUAAUUUUUUUUUCUCGAUAGUCCCUCACUUCUGCAGAAGGGUGCAGGUACUCCAAAAAGCACAUGCUCCGAGCAAAGGACCCUCCCCUAUUUAUCUCUAAUGCAGGUGAUCUACCUGUCCCCUUCCCAUUGGUCAAGAAGAUGUGGUACAUAUACACAAUGGAAUACUACUCAGCCAUUAAAAGGAACAAAAUACCAGCAUUUUUAGCAACAUGGAUGGACCUAGAAAUUAUCAUGCUAAGUGAAGUCAGUCAGACAAUGAGACACCAACAUCAAAUGCUUUCACUGACAUGUGGAAUAUGAAAAAAAAGGACAAAAUGAACUUAUUUGCAGAAUAUAUACUAACUCACAGACCUUGAAAAACUUAUGGUUUCCAAAGGAGACAGUUUGAGGGGUGGAGGGAUGUGCUGGGGUUGUGGGAUGGAAAUCCUAUAAAACUGGUUUGUGAUAAUCAUUGUACAACCAUAAAUGUAAUAAAUUCAUUGAGUAAUGAAAAAUAAAUAAAUAAAAUUUAAUUCUGUAGCUCUGCUUCCCUGAAAAAGCUGUUAAGAGUUAGAAAGUCAACAUGUUUCUGGGCAACAUAGCUAAUGUUAAAAAAUAACCCUGAGUGUCAAACUACACCUGGACUGGGAAGAACUAUAAACAAACUAUAAAUACACAAUAAGUACACUGUGUUCUGGGAUCCUCUGAGUGUUAUGUAACUCAUGAACUGGAUUAGUAUGUCCCUUUUGCUGACUCUAGAAGCUAUUGUGUUAAGACAGAUAUUGGCUCUUCCAGGAUGUGAAGCUUCUAAACCAGAGCACCUCCAUACCCAGCAAUCUUGUUUCCUUGGACCUGAAGUUGUCAUGUGGAAAGAAGACAGCUUCUGGAUGGCUGUUGACCUGAUGCUGGACUGCCAUAGGAGGAAUACUUGACAUGUCCAGCCAGCAAGCUACAACUCCUCUCCUCUCAUCUUCCUGGUAGACUCCCUGUGGGGCCUCUUGCAGUCUCCAGGGUCUUAAGUGGUUUAAGCCUGAGAAGAUGCCUGGGUGUUCUAGAUCUGUCCAGUAGAAGGGACACCCUUUGUAAACUGCCUAACAAUCUUGGAAUCUUAGGACUAGAUGCAAUCUUACAGGCCAUCCCCAAUUUACUCAAUUUUGAAAACACUUCUGCAAUAUUUUCAACAACUGGCCAGCUGACCUCUUCAACACUUUCAACCCUCUUAGGAAUCCAUUCCAUUACCAGGCAGUACUCAUAAUAAAAGGCUUUGAUAUGGACAGAUAUCUGCCCACCUGAAGUAUCUAACCAUUGGUUUUAUCUAUUUCCUGUCAUGAGAGCUACACAUAAGGUUAGAUUCUUUCCUAUGACUCGUAUUCACAUAUUUUAGACAUCAGUUUUAUCCUCUAAUAAUCUCUUCUCUUCUUCAGUAGAAAUAUACUGUUUCGUCAACUGUUCCCCACUGUCUUUGCCAUCUUUCUGCUCUUCUUCCUAUACUAAGUCAACACAUUAAUCUUCCUGUGGAGUUUCUAGAGCAGGUGAUACUAUCUCUAAUUCAAAGAUAUACUUAUUUUUUUCACAGCCACAGCUGUGCCAUAUGGAAGUUCCUAGGCUAGGAACUGAAUUGGAGCUAUAGCUGAGGCCUUUGCCACAGCCCUGGCAACACAGGAUCUGAGCCACAUCUGUGAGCUAUGCCACAGCUUGUGGCAAUGCCAGAUCUUAACCCACUGAGCAAGGCCAGAGAUCUAACCCACAUCCUCAGCGAGAUAAUGUUGGGUUCUUAACCCACCGAGCCACAAUGGGAACCCCCUAGCAUUUUUAGUACUUACCAUUUUCAUUUCAUGAAACUGAAUUAAGCACUGCCAGUUCCUUUAAGCACAAAGGAAAUUUAUACCCAAUUUCUCUCCAUAACUCACAUUCUAAUUUAUCUUUUUCACUAAUUUAAUCUAAUUUAUCUUUUUUCCAUAAUGUUGAUCACAAUGACUUUCAUAUACUAAGUGAUUAAGAAUUGUAUGUUAUGGGAAAUGUAAAGAAUCCCCACAUCAACUUUUGAGUAUAGGAUACAAUGGAGAGAGACAGUAUAAGAAAAAUAAAACAAGAUACAGAGAAAGAGGGAGAGAGGGAAGAAGAGGGAGAGACAGAGGGAAUGGAGGGAGAGAGACAGAGGAAGGAAAGGGGUAGGAGGAGAAUUUUCUAGACUCCUUUCUCUAAACAAUGUUUUUUCUACACAAUAUGACAAUUUUUCACAUUGUCCUUCCCUAAUUUUAAGAUGUACAUUUCAUGGCAGGAACAUCUUUUCUCCAAAUGCCCCUUUCGUUUCUUCAGUUUCUUUAAAAUGGAAUGGUAAAAUCAUUGAAUCCCAUUGUGUAACCGAACUAGUAAAAACAUGUUACAGACUCCUGGUUUGAUUUUAUUUUAUGGCUAUUGUCUAGUCUGAUAAAAAAUGUAUCAGUUGCUUAGAUGUUUGAGCUCUGUCUUUAGCUCAGAUGCUGGUACAUCAGCAUUCAUCUUCUUGACAAGAUCUUGUGGAUAUUAAAGUAUAAAAAUAUGACUGGACAGAAUAAGACUCAAGGAUUCCCUGGAGGCCUCUGGUUUCUAUAUAGCCCAAAUUUUAAAGGUAUUUACAAGGUUGGCCAUGUCUAUAAGCCAACCAGGAUUUCAAAGUACAUAUUUCAUGUCUAGUUCCCUCCUUUCCCAUCCCAUUUAGAGGAAGAUUAUGAGAACAAAUCUCACAAUCUAUAUAAAAGCUCUCCAGGCCUGUAGAGCUCUAAUGAACCCUUGAAGUAAUUAAUACUUUGUUCCCUUAUUUGUAACAGCUUGCAAGUCAUAUUGGGAAUGCAAAUGUUAGUUUGCGUGCUCUACAAGGUAUGUGUAAUGUGUUGAGGACUGUUCUGUACCUAUUAACUUUUAAGUCCUUAGGGAAAUGCACAAAAGGAGAAAACAUGGCCCCUGCCUUAACGGAAGACAUGGUUUUGAGAG
Molecule: long non-coding RNA, 4285 nt
Filed under: Sus scrofa (pig)
Lineage: Eukaryota; Metazoa; Chordata; Mammalia; Artiodactyla; Suidae
Description: lncRNA (ENSSSCG00000055654.1, ENSSSCG00130020868.1)
Source: RNAcentral